AGUGAACGCUGGCGGUAGGCCUAACACAUGCAAGUCGAACGGCAGCACAGUAAGAGCUUGCUCUUACGGGUGGCGAGUGGCGGACGGGUGAGGAAUACAUCGGAAUCUACUUUUUCGUGGGGGAUAACGUAGGGAAACUUACGCUAAUACCGCAUACGACCUACGGGUGAAAGCAGGGGAUCUUCGGACCUUGCGCGAUUGAAUGAGCCGAUGUCGGAUUAGCUAGUUGGCGGGGUAAAGGCCCACCAAGGCGAUGAUCCGUAGCUGGUCUGAGAGGAUGAUCAGCCACACUGGAACUGAGACACGGUCCAGACUCCUACGGGAGGCAGCAGUGGGGAAUAUUGGACAAUGGGCGCAAGCCUGAUCCAGCCAUACCGCGUGGGUGAAGAAGGCCUGCGGGUUGUAAAGCCCUUUUGUUGGGAAAGAAAAGCAGCAGGUUAAUACCCCGCUGUUCGGACGGGACCCAAAGAAUAAGCACCGGCGAACUUCGU
Molecule: ribosomal RNA, 491 nt
Filed under: uncultured bacterium
Lineage: Bacteria
Description: partial 16S ribosomal RNA
Rfam family: Bacterial small subunit ribosomal RNA
Source: RNAcentral